Molecule: ribosomal RNA, 468 nt
Filed under: uncultured bacterium
Lineage: Bacteria
Description: partial 16S ribosomal RNA
Rfam family: Bacterial small subunit ribosomal RNA
Source: RNAcentral
GACGAACGCUGGCGGCGUGCUUAACACAUGCAGGUCGAACGGAAAGGCCCUGCUUUUGUGGGGUGCUCGAGUGGCGAACGGGUGAGUAACACGUGAGUAACCUGCCCUUGACUUUGGAAUAACUUCAGGAAACUGGGGCUAAUACCGGAUAGGAGCUCCUGCUGCAUGGUGGGGGUUGGAAAGUUUCGGCGGUUGGGGAUGGACUCGCGGCUUAUCAGCUUGUUGGUGGGGUAGUGGCUUACCAAGGCUUUGACGGGUAGCCGGCCUGAGAGGGUGACCGGCCACAUUGGGACUGAGAUACGGCCCAGACUCCUACGGGAGGCAGCAGUGGGGAAUAUUGCACAAUGGGCGGAAGCCUGAUGCAGCAACGCCGCGUGCGGGAUGACGGCCUUCGGGUUGUAAACCGCUUUCGCCUGUGACGAAGCGUGAGUGACGGUAAUGGGUAAAGAAGCACCGGCUAACUACGUG